AUGACAGUGAAAAUUAUUGAGGCUUUCCAUGCUAGUCCCCUGGGAGUACAUUCAGGUGUGCCAGUCACCUUGCGGAAGCUCAAGAAAUUAUUCUAUUGGAAAGGCAUGACUAAUCAAGUGCAUAAGAUGGUGCAAGAAUGCUUGAUCUGUCAACGUGCUAAACCAGAUCGUGCUAAAUACCCUGGACUUCUUGCUCCUUUGCCAGUUCCUUCUCAGUACUGGCAACUACUUGCUAUGGAUUUUGUCGAAGGCCUUCCAAAAUCAGGUUGCUUUAAUUGCAUUCUAGUGGUUGUGGACAAGCUGUCCAAGUAUGCACAUUUUAUUGGUCUUCAGCAUCCCUUUAUUGUAUCCACGGUGACUACAGCGUUCAUGGACAACAUAUACAAGCUUCACGGGAUGCCUGAAUCAAUUGUUAUUGAUAGUGAUUGUAUCUUUACCAGUCGUUUUUGGCGAGAGAUUGCUGCUCUGACAAGCACUAAGCUCAAGAUGAGUUCUUCCCAUCAUCCCUAG
This 510-nucleotide ribosomal RNA is filed under the name Triticum aestivum (bread wheat). RNAcentral describes it as "partial small subunit ribosomal RNA". The record is from RNAcentral. Lineage: Eukaryota; Viridiplantae; Streptophyta; Magnoliopsida; Poales; Poaceae.